Molecule: ribosomal RNA, 257 nt
Filed under: uncultured bacterium
Lineage: Bacteria
Description: partial 16S ribosomal RNA
Rfam family: Bacterial small subunit ribosomal RNA
Source: RNAcentral
UACGUAGGGGGGCAAGCGUUUGUCCGGAAUCAUUGGGCGUAAAGCGCGUGUAGGCGGCCCGGUAAGUCCGCUGUGAAAGUCGGGGGCUCAACCCUCGAAUGCCGGUGGAUACUGUCGGGCUAGAGUGCGGAAGAGGCGAGUGGAAUUCCUGGUGUAGCGGUGAAAUGCGCAGAUAUCAGGAGGAACACCGGUGGCGAAGGCGGGUCUCUGGGCCGAUACUGACGCUGGAGGAGCGAAAGCCGUGGGGAGCGAACAGG